CCUACGGGAGGCAUCAGUAGGGAAUCUUCCACAAUGGACGAAAGUCUGAUGGAGCAACGCCGCGUGAGUGAAGAAGGGUUUCGGCUCGUAAAGCUCUGUUGGUAGGGAAGAAAGAUAGAGGUAGUAACUUGCCUUUAUUUGACCUUAAUAACUUAGAAAGUCACGGCUAACAACGAGCAAGCAGCCGCGGUAAUACGUAGGUGGCAAGCGUUGUCCGGAUGUAUUGGGCGGAAAGCGAGUGCAGGCGGUGAAAUAAGACUGAUGUGAAAGCCUUCGGCUCAACCGGAGAAUUGCAUAAGAAACUGUUGAACUUGAGUGCAGAAGAGGAGAGCGGAAUUCCAUGUGUAGCGGUGGAAUGCGUAGAUAUAUGGAAGAACACCAGUGGCGAAGGCGGAUGUCUGGUCUGCAACUGACGCUGAGGCUCGAAAGCGUGGGUAGCGAACAGGAUUAGAUACCCUUGUAGUC
This 465-nucleotide ribosomal RNA is filed under the name uncultured bacterium. Its description in RNAcentral is "partial 16S ribosomal RNA". It matches the Rfam family "Bacterial small subunit ribosomal RNA", at positions 338 to 795 of the family's 1533-position model. The record is from RNAcentral.